ACAGAGGGGACGAGCGUUGUUCGGAAUGACUGGGCGUAAAGGGUGCGUAGGCGGUUAUUUAAGUAAGGCGUUAAAGCCCUGGGCUCAACCCGGGAACUGCGUUUUAUACUGAGUAACUUGAGUGUGAUAGAGGAAAGUGGAAUUCCUAGUGUAGAGGUGAAAUUCGUAGAUAUUAGGAGGAACACCAGAGGCGAAGGCGGCUUUCUGGGUCAUUACUGACGCUGAGGCACGAAAGCGUGGGGAGCAAACAG
Molecule: ribosomal RNA, 251 nt
Filed under: uncultured prokaryote
Description: partial 16S rRNA
Rfam family: Bacterial small subunit ribosomal RNA
Source: RNAcentral